GGGGAGGGAGGGGGGUUGUGGGGGAGGAGGAGAUGCAGGCCUACAUUAUUUUAGUUGGAAGGAGAAUCAAAAGCAUUAAUUUAAAAAAAAAAAAUUACAAUAUGGUAGAAUUUUAAUUUAGUGAAUUGAAAUUAUACAUUUCUUAUCCUUAAACUUUUGUCUUUAUAAAUGGGGAUGCUAUGAAUAUAAUUAGAGAAGCCUUUUGGCAGACAAUUUUCAGAUUUGGUUUGAGAGAGCUCUUCUAAUCUUUUCAAUUCCAUGUUCACUCAUCUCAUCUGUCUCUCUUUUUCUCCCUAUGAACUCUUGUUAAUGGGUUUGACUUUGAUCUUCUCUUUAGAAUAUUUAAACCAUACUAAACAGAAUGCGCAUCAUGGCUUGUCUCCAAAUAAUCAUUUUAUGAUUUUAGAACCC
Molecule: unclassified non-coding RNA, 411 nt
Filed under: Hevea brasiliensis (rubber tree)
Lineage: Eukaryota; Viridiplantae; Streptophyta; Magnoliopsida; Malpighiales; Euphorbiaceae
Source: RNAcentral